GAAAUGCGAUAAGUAAUGUGAAUUGCAGAAUUCAGUGAAUCAUCGAAUCUUUGAACGCACAUUGCGCCUGGUGGUAUUCCGCCAGGCAUGCCUGUUCGAGCGUCAUUUAAACCAAUCUAGCCUUAUGGUUAGGUCUUGGGCCUUCGCCUCUGGGCGGGCCUUAAAAUCAGUGGCGGUGCCCUUUGGCUCUAAGCGUAGUAAUACUCCUCGCUAUAGACGUCAGGCGGUGUCUUGCCAGCAACCUUAAUUUACAAAGGUUGACCUCGGAUCAGGUAGGGAUACCCGCUGAACUUAA
This 295-nucleotide unclassified non-coding RNA is filed under the name uncultured Helotiales. Its description in RNAcentral is "sequence contains ITS1". The stretch from base 1 to 105 matches the Rfam family "5.8S ribosomal RNA", at positions 50 to 154 of the family's 154-position model. The record is from RNAcentral. Lineage: Eukaryota; Fungi; Ascomycota; Leotiomycetes; Helotiales.